AGUUUGAUCCUGGCUCAGGAUGAACGCUAGCUACAGGCUUAACACAUGCAAGUCGAGGGGCAGCAUGUCGGUUGCUUGCAACCGAUGAUGGCGACCGGCGCACGGGUGAGUAACGCGUAUCCAACCUACCCUUGUCCAUCGGAUAACCCGUCGAAAGGCGGCCUAACACGAUAUGCGGUUCACAGCAGGCAUCUAACGUGAACGAAAUGUGAAGGAGAAGGAUGGGGGAGCGUCUGAUUAGCUUGUUGGCGGGGUAACGGCCCACCAAGGCUACGAUCAGUAGGGGUUCUGAGAGGAAGGUCCCCCACAUUGGAACUGAGACACGGUCCAAACUCCUACGGGAGGCAGCAGUGAGGAAUAUUGGUCAAUGGACGAGAGUCUGAACCAGCCAAGUAGCGUGCAGGAUGACGGCCCUAUGGGUUGUAAACUGCUUUUAUAAGGGAAUAAAGUGAGCCUCGUGAGGCUUUUUGCAUGUACCUUAUGAAUAAGGACCGGCUAAUUCCGUGCCAGCAGCCGCGGUAAUACGGAAGGUCCGGGCGUUAUCCGGAUUUAUUGGGUUUAAAGGGAGCGUAGGCCGGAGAUUAAGCGUGUUGUGAAAUGUAGAUGCUCAACAUCUGCACUGCAGCGCGAACUGGUUUCCUUGAGUACGCACAAAGUGGGCGGAAUUCGUGGUGUAGCGGUGAAAUGCUUAGAUAUCACGAAGAACUCCGAUUGCGAAGGCAGCUCACUGGAGCGCAACUGACGCUGAAGCUCGAAAGUGCGGGUAUCGAACAGGAUUAGAUACCCUGGUAGUCCGCACGGUAAACGAUGGAUGCCCGCUGUUGGUCUGAAUAGGUCAGCGGCCAAGCGAAAGCAUUAAGCAUCCCACCUGGGGAGUACGCCGGCAACGGUGAAACUCAAAGGAAUUGACGGAAG
Molecule: ribosomal RNA, 915 nt
Filed under: uncultured bacterium
Lineage: Bacteria
Description: bacterial SSU rRNA
Rfam family: Bacterial small subunit ribosomal RNA
Source: RNAcentral